Molecule: ribosomal RNA, 889 nt
Filed under: uncultured bacterium
Lineage: Bacteria
Description: bacterial SSU rRNA
Rfam family: Bacterial small subunit ribosomal RNA
Source: RNAcentral
GUGCCAGCAGCCGCGGUAAUACGGAAGGUCCGGGCGUUAUCCGGAUUUAUUGGGUUUAAAGGGAGCGCAGGCGGGAGGUUAAGCGUGACGUGAAAUGUAGCCGCUCAACGGCUGAGUUGCGUCGCGAACUGGCUUUCUUGAGUGGGUACGACGGAGGCGGAAUUCGUGGUGUAGCGGUGAAAUGCUUAGAUAUCACGAAGAACCCCGAUUGCGAAGGCAGCCUCCGAGUCCCUUACUGACGCUAAAGCUCGAAGGUGCGGGUAUCGAACAGGAUUAGAUACCCUGGUAGUCCGCACGGUAAACGAUGGAUGCCCGCUGUAUGCGACAGACAGUAUGCGGCCAAGCGAAAGCGUUAAGCAUCCCACCUGGGGAGUACGCCGGCAACGGUGAAACUCAAAGGAAUUGACGGGGGCCCGCACAAGCGGAGGAACAUGUGGUUUAAUUCGAUGAUACGCGAGGAACCUUACCCGGGCUUGAACUGCAGCCGAACGAUGGAGAGAUCCUGAGGUCCUUCGGGACGGCUGUGGAGGUGCUGCAUGGUUGUCGUCAGCUCGUGCCGUGAGGUGUCGGCUUAAGUGCCAUAACGAGCGCAACCCCUUUCGUCAGUUGCCAUCAGGUUAAGCUGGGCACUCUGGCGACACUGCCACCGUAAGGUGCGAGGAAGGUGGGGAUGACGUCAAAUCAGCACGGCCCUUACGUCCGGGGCUACACACGUGUUACAAUGGGGAGUACAGAGAGUCGAGUGCCGGCAACGUCACUCCAAUCACGAAAGCUCUCCUCAGUUCGGAUUGGGGUCUGCAACCCGACCCCAUGAAGCUGGAUUCGCUAGUAAUCGCGCAUCAGCCAUGGCGCGGUGAAUACGUUCCCGGGCCUUGUACACACCGCCCGU